Molecule: unclassified non-coding RNA, 336 nt
Filed under: soil metagenome
Description: partial contains 5.8S ribosomal RNA, internal transcribed spacer 2, and large subunit ribosomal RNA
Rfam family: 5.8S ribosomal RNA (bases 1-120)
Source: RNAcentral
GAUGAAGAACGCAGCGAAAUGCGAUAAGUAGUGUGAAUUGCAGAAUUCAGUGAAUCAUCGAAUCUUUGAACGCACAUUGCGCCCCUCGGUAUUCCGUGGGGCAUGCCUGUUCGAGCGUCAUCUACACCCUCAAGCUCUGCUUGGUGUUGGGCGUCUGUCCCGCCUCCGCGCGUGGACUCGCCCCAAAUUCAUUGGCAGCGGUCCUUGCCUCCUCUCGCGCAGCACAUUGCGCUUCUCGAGGGGCUACGGCUCGCGUCCAACAAGCACAUUUACCGUCUUUGACCUCGGAUCAGGUAGGGAUACCCGCUGAACUUAAGCAUAUCAAUAAGAGGAGGA